GCCCUUCCUUCCGUUUUACACACCCUCUUAAACUACCUAUGUCUCUACCCUCCUCCUUUCCUUCCGCCUUUACCUAGUCGGCCGUCACCAAUUUCUCUUCCACUGCAUUCUCGGUUCCGCUCAACAUGCACCUCCUAUAUACUCCACUCGGUUUAGGGUAGAAACCUAGAAAUUAUUGCCACCUCCUCCUCCUCUGCCAUCUCUCCUAUAGAUCCUGCAAAUCUCUCCCUUUUCUCCACUAUAAUGGUGGUGUGGUGAUGAUGUUGAUGAUGGCAAUGAUAAAGAUAGUUCAUUUGAAACUAACCUUCAGGUCAUCUUUAGAGCCGCUGUCCUUCCUCUGGGAUGAACCCUUAGAGGGGCCACUUUCCUUUGUAUGGAUGUAUGGCAAGUACCACGCACCUACCGUUCUGAUAGAAGAGUAUGGAGGAGCAUGUAUUACCUUGUAAGAAAGGCAAGUCCAGAGGCCAGAAGUGAAGCCCGGCCUCUGUGUUUCUAACAUCAAGGUGCUGCCCUGCCCAGGACC
Cercocebus atys (sooty mangabey) is the source of this 523-nucleotide long non-coding RNA. RefSeq lists it as uncharacterized. Lineage: Eukaryota; Metazoa; Chordata; Mammalia; Primates; Cercopithecidae. The transcript is spliced from 3 exons. The record is from RefSeq and is a predicted model, not a curated record.